This 1284-nucleotide long non-coding RNA is filed under the name Homo sapiens (human). Its description in RNAcentral is "non-protein coding lnc-PSAPL1-1:1". The record is from RNAcentral. Lineage: Eukaryota; Metazoa; Chordata; Mammalia; Primates; Hominidae.
CUGAGACCACCCACCCUCUCCAGGAGCAGCCCCAGAGGCUCUCUGUCUGCCUGCCGGUAGGUGUUCCCACCUGACACACUCUCUGGGACAGGAUGGAGCCAUAGGCCCUCCUCUGGCUUGGCUGUGAGUCGGGAGGAUGCCUACCGGGAAGUAUGUGUGACAUGACCUGAAAUCCCCCGACAGGUCACCUGGGAGAGGCCGGGAGAGGGCAAGCGCCACACCUGCCAGGUGGCCCAGCUCAGCCCACCUGCCCCCACCCCAGAGCUACCUGCAGUGGGUGGUCAGGGUGGGGUGUCCCCACACCCUCUUCCCUACCCACCCCUUGGGCCUGGGUACCAGCUGCUCCCACAGACCCACUGAGCACAUGCGUCUCCACUAGAUGGUUGCCCGUGAUGAACGGAGCUCACUGGCCAUGACCCCACAGGCCCAGCUGCACACCCAGGUCAUGAGCACGGCCCUGCCCCACCCCCAUAGGGGCCCUCUGACCCCUCCACUCACUCAUCCGCCACCAAAGCUGUGGAGGCCUGUGGCAGGGUCUCAGUCACCUCCAUCCCCUGUGCCCGGAACCAAGCCCGGAACACAGGAGGUGCUCUGCAAGUGCUCGUGGGGAGUGGCUGCCUUGGGGUCUAAAGGCAGAGAGGCAGGAGGAGCAAGGGACGGGCCCACUGGUGCUGACGGCAGCACCACCAUUCAGCACUGAGACUGAGGCUUAAGGAGUCCAUCCAAAUGACUCCAUAGCCGCCGCGUUCAGGCUGGAAAAGGCUUUUCAGCGGAGGGUGCUGUAACUGUCCAGCUGUGGGAGAGGAGAUACCAGCCCAGGAGAAGAGCAGCUGGCCCUACUGGGCCUAGAAGUUUGGGAGACCCAUCCCAGCAAGGAUGGGAAAUCAAGACAGAUGUUGAGCAUGGAUUUCCCAGAGGUGGUGACUGCGCCGCACAGAGGAGCAUCUCUGCCUGGGAGGAGGGAGAGGGCUCCCGCCGGGCUGCCAGAGCCGAGCAAGUACCUGCACCUUCAGCCAGACACAUGCUGGGCAUUCUUCAGAUGCCAUCGUAAGGCGGAGGCCUGGGACGUCCCAGAACACCUAUGGAUGCUGCCCCUCGGGCUUUCUCGGCCACACCAGAUGCAGAGGGGCUGUGGGAGCCUGGAAAAGGGCUUGGUGGUCCAGCUGCUUUGUUGUUGUUGUUUUUGUUUUGUUUGUUUGUUUGUUUGUUUGUUUUGGCUUGGGGCUUUUCUUAGAAGUGAUGUGUUGUUAGAAACUUCAAACCAGAUACAAAUAUACCCAACGA